AUGGAAAAGGGGGUUAAGGUUGAAGGUUUGUGUCCCUUCACCCUCUCAAACAGAAUCGGCGCCGCUCCCUCUUCUUCCGUUGCCUCAACCUUUCAACGACGCUGGAAUCUCAAAUCGUCGAAGCUCCAUGGCUCGCGGAUUCAACGUCAUCUCGUUGUUUUUCCUCAUCACCCCUUGCCUCGUCAGUCCUUUUCUCCUUCGAUUCAACUCCAUGUUUCAUUUUCUAUGAUCAAUUGA
RNAcentral lists this long non-coding RNA (237 nucleotides) under Vicia faba (fava bean). The record is from RNAcentral. Lineage: Eukaryota; Viridiplantae; Streptophyta; Magnoliopsida; Fabales; Fabaceae.